AAAAAAAGUAGACUCCUUUCAGAUUCCACUUGAAAAAUGUACUAGUAAUACAGAAUUUGAUAAGGAACCCGAAACUAUUUUUUUUAUAAUUCAAAAACUUGUCAUUAAUGAGGUAAAAAUCGUCAAACAUUUGAAUUGUUUAUAAAAAUUGGGAUUUUCAAUAAUGUUCAACAUUGCAUUUUUUUUAUGAAAGCUUAUUCGUUCACCUUCCGAAUGCACUGUGAAUGAUGUCUUUACGUCGAAUAGAACCGGAUAUAUGCGAGCUCCUUUUGCAUCAAAAUUGAAUGAUUGUCUUGUAACUUUCGAUAACAAACAUAAUUCGGACGGACACCAAAAUGCGUAUCGAUUCUUUUUAUCUUUAUUUCAUGUGAAAAAAAGUAUGAAUAGAUUGAAAAAAUACGAGGUCAUGUUUUGAUUGACGUGACGUAGAAUUCCUUGUACGUAUGUUGAUAUAGAUAAACAUUCUUCAUAUUUUAACGAAAAUUAUAUUCACCGGCGCACAGUGGUCUGAAAGCCCGAAUUCUUGGCCAAAACCCCCAAAACCGAAAGUUAUCAUCCGAGGUAAAGCUUCACAUAUUUGUCAAUUGAUAGCAUUAGAGCUUUGAAAUCCAAUAGGGCAGAUGUUCAUAUUCAUUCCAUGGCCUGUGGUAAGCCCUCGAAAAUGACCAUUGUCGAGACUCGCGCGGGACUGUGGUGUGUGCACGCUUUCGAGCGCACGAAAAAAAAGGCUGUAGUUUUUUCAAUUUUCAUCAAAAUCGAGUCAACCAAAAUGGAUAUUAUUCCUCAAGAGAAUUAGUUAUGAUCCCCGGAGAUCCUGCGGAGAUCUCAACGAUUCCUAGUGUGAAAAAGUAUAGAAAAUGUGAAACCGUUGCCAUCACCUGCUCGUUUUUGCUCCAUUGGUCAAAAAUACGCAUUCUUUGAAGCAGUGUUUUGUCGACUCGGUCGGAGCCUCGUGGCCCGCCUCGUGGGAUUAGUGUAGCGGGGCGACGCAGACAACGUCAUUCAUCGAAACGACGUCGAUGAUGAGAAUUCAGAUAGCGAUUAGUAUGUAUCUUUAAAAAUUAUGUUAUUUUGUUUUAUAAGAAAAAAACCUGUAUGAAUUAAAGGAAUUAAUUUACAAAAUA
This is a long non-coding RNA of Neodiprion fabricii, 1124 nucleotides long. RefSeq lists it as uncharacterized. The record is from RefSeq and is a predicted model, not a curated record. Lineage: Eukaryota; Metazoa; Arthropoda; Insecta; Hymenoptera; Diprionidae. The transcript is spliced from 2 exons.